CGGCGGCGGCGGCGAGCGCGGGCCUCAGGCUGCCUUCCUGCUUGAGCUCCUCCUGGAUGCGCCGCAGCAUGUUGUUGAUGAGAACGGUCUUUUGCAAGCUGGGCUCCGUGAGGGGCCUGUGGUUGUAGAGCUUCAUAAGGGAAAUGUUGAAGAUAGUCUGGCGCUGUAAGGUGUAAGACACCUUGGACGGACCGUCGGAGGGAGCCAGGAUUUUGCCUUCCAGCCCAUCUUCAUGCUCGUCAAACUUCCGUUUUUCCCCUUUACCCAACAUAUAUCUGCAGAGGAGAAAGGAAAGGGAGCGGCAUCAACCACACGGAAACUCAUCAUUUUCUGCCCUAAAAGGGACGCCGAUUCGGGGUUCGGGGCUUGGACUUCAGUUGCUUGCCCCAGCAUGCACAGAGUUUUUCUGCCUGUUGGGUGCCAUGUGGCCUAGCACCCGGCCUGGGUUAAGUGACCACAGCGAUGGAGCAGCCACCGCUUCUCAGCCCAGAAUAAAGUGGAGGAAUGUGGCUUUCCCAGCCCAAGCGCCAGUGGCUCAAUUUGAUUGCGUACAGUUAACGUCUGACUGCAACCGCACGAAUUUAAAAGUAAUUUGUUCUGAUUAUAAGACCUGCUGUUUGAGUACGUGAGACAUUUCAUAACAAAAUACCUACUGUGAUUCCACAGAUACACACGUGCUUCGGAAAAGAGCCAACCACCUCAUAUCUCAGACCUUGACAUUUGGGAAUGGCGUGAGUUUUAACACCUGCCCUGCCUCACCUGCCGCUCCCUGCCUAUGCCGCUGCCUCCUUGCCUGCUCUGGCCUUACUGAGGACUCCCUCGGCCGGCUGCACCUUCUGGAGAGUGUUCCUUCCUUUCAGAACUUCUACCGUCUAAACAGAACAACUGUUCUGUUUAGUUCUGUUUCAGUACAACUGCAAGCCCACUGGUCUUUGCCUCACAGACCUCACUUUCUAACCAUUUAAUCAGGAAAGUUGUUCUCCUGCUGUCCAGACCAGAAGACGUGGUUCUCAUUAAGCCGGGCCUGUGCUUGCUCCCCCAGCCGGUCUGCAGCACUUACCCACAGGCGAGUGUUAAUCCUCUCCUGGGUGCCACUCACUGAUAUCUUCAUAUACAAGUAGUUUGUACUUAUCCAAUUUUUCUUCUAAAAGCGACUUGCCUUUUACUGAAUUGCUUCAGCUGAUUUUGAUGGAGCCUCAUUCAGUCUUUAUAUUUGUUUACUCAUUCUGCAUCUAUGCUGUCGUGGGCACUCUGCCAGAAAGUGGGUAGUCCUGCCAAUGAAUAAAGCCUGGUCUUCAAGGGGCUGAAUAUCAUCUCCUACACCUCAUUAGCAUUUUGAGUUGAGUCUCAUCCUAAAGGAAUAAAGCUAACCAUAAUAAAACCUCACAGAUCUUCCUUGCAACACUUUGUUAAGGAAGACCAUGCCACACCACCCCCCCAUCCCUCCAAGGCGGACAAACAUGCAAGUGGGUCACAGGACACACGAGUUCCACUUGCAGUAGUCACUGCCUUCACGUGCCUCAGUCCCCAGGAGAGAGAGACAGCCGCAACCCAUCAACGUCAGAAUCAGCUUGCGAAUUUAUUAACGUUCAUAAAGAAUGUACAGUUACUUGUAUGAAACACUCUGCCUUAUGUAAACAUUAAGAAAAUGGAUGUCAAUCACAAGGACCAAAGACCUGUCCCAUAAUGUUCUCUGAGGCAAGGAAGAUACGCUAGUAAUAACUCUUAUAUCUACUGCUCCACAUGACAAAAACAUUUCCUACUGUUUAGUGCUAAAAAGUCAUUUGUAUAUAUACUUUGCAUAGAACAUUUCCUAUCUAAAGUAUCUGUGCUCAUUUAAACUUGAGUGUGAAUCAGAGACGAGGUGAUUCCAUUUCACGUUACAAAACACUUUUUCCUUUAUGCCUUAGAAGUGUUACUGGACGACUGUGUUUUGAAACAGUUAUACUAUUUGUAUCUGUUUAAAAUUUAACCUUUAAAAUACUCACUUCUAGGAAAAUUCCAUUUUUGCCAAAGAGCUCACUGAGCAUGUGUAAUUCUCAUUAUAAGGCUAUAAAAUGGUCUAUGUUACUGGUUACAGGUAAUGGCACCUGAUACAUGUAAACCUGUGCAACAGUACACAUAUGCAUAUAAAUACACUCUAAAACAGUGUUUCUCAAAGUGUGGUCUGUGGAAGGUGCCAGUCUGUGAACUGUUACUGGCCCCUGACGAGUUAAACAGAGAUACUGUGUUAUUUAGAAACUUUUACAGCAAAUUUACAGAAUAAUUGUAUAUCUGUAUAUCUAAUUUCUAAAAUGGGGCUUCCAUUUUUGUCUUUGUACUUUGAUUUCACUUCUCUAGUAAGUAUUUUUAUGUUUUACUAAAGUAUUCAUCUAUGAAGGAGGAAAAAACAAGAUGAUCCUUUAUCACAGAAAGUUUGAGAAGCACUGUCCCCAAAUGUUAACCAAAAACAAAUAACAAACAACUAACAACAAAUUACAGCAAAGACUUUCCUUUUAGUCAUCGAUACAGGAUUGUCUUUUUUAAAGAAUUGGUGCCAGGAUAAACAAUACUUUCUCAAUAACUUUCUCAGCAAGGAUUACUUACUUCUCUAGAAAUAAUUACUGAAUGAAUAAAACUCGAAUAUUUACCAAGCAUGCAGUACUAUGGGCAUUUAGCAGAACUCCCACAGCUGAAGGAGACGGGUGGCGAUGUUUUGGAUGAGAUUUCAAAGUGAGAAGCACUUAAUUUCCAAGUAGAAUGAUCCAGCUGGUCAUAGCUGUGUGAUAAUCCUAAUGAUUUAGGAACAGCCUGGUAAGAUGUUGUAAUGCUGGAAGGGGAAGGUGGAGGACCCUCGUAAGCAGGAUAGACAAAUCGAACCUUGGAUGCUUUUCAAGUGUGUAAAUAAGAACCCAUGAUAGAGUGUGUCUCAAAGCAGGUUUGCCUUCAUUUCUCUAUAGCAUUUUAUGAGGCAAAACUGGCUCCACACACCCAGUGAGAUUGCAAAACGCACACGAUCCUGAGUCGUAUUCCUGAUUCUAUCUACCUUGUUAUCAAAAGGAAGAAAAUGCAACAAUAUAAUAAAAACAGCCCCACGUUUUCCCUUAAAGACUUUAAAUUAAAAAGAAAUGUUGUUAAAGGUCAAAGUUUUUCCAGAGUUUGCUUUAGCACAUCGUCUGAGUCCGGUCUUCCCACUGACCACGUUCAGAGGAGGCCUCCAGCUCCCGGAGUGGGAGGUUUUGAGAACUCUCACUCGCAGCGCAGUAAGGGUGUUAAUGACCACCUUCUGGAGCAGGGCACGCUUCAAAGAAGACGAGACAAGCCACUCAAGAACCUGAGGGCAAAGCCAAAUGGUGUCUCUGGGCCUGGAGCUGGGCUGGCCAAAGCCAGGGUCAGCAGCUCCUCAGAAGCCUCUUUCCCCAGGCACGCUAAGAAAAUAACAAUAGCUCUUGAAAGCACGCCUAGUGGAGACGCACGUGACCUUUUAAAAGGCCUCACUAGGCUGCAGCUUGAAGAUGAAGCAGUAGCUGGGGCUCAUUUAAGGGAACCCUGGGGCAGGGGGUGUUCCGCUGUUCCUGCCUCAGAGGCCCCGGCUGGGGACAAGGGGCCUGCCGUCCACUGAAAGGAGGGGCUUGUGACAAGUGUGGCUUCUAGGCCAUCCAGAGCCCUGACCCCCCUCUUUGUCUCCUCUCUUGGCUUGUGAGGACUUAAGCCCAAAGCGCAUGUCUUCUACCCAAGUUUUCAAAGAUCCAAGACCAACCCUAGAACUUGAGGGCUGGUUAGAGACCUCCUCACAUGGAGGAAGGAGGUGGCUGCUUCCUCCCUUUUCUGCCCCUCCAAAGGAGCCGAAAGCCAACCACAGGCACUCUUCUCUUGGAUAUCCGGUGGUUCUUAAUAUAAGCUUCUUGAGAUAAAACACCCUUCUUUCCAAUAAACCUGUUAGAAACAAA
Canis lupus familiaris (dog) is the source of this 3929-nucleotide long non-coding RNA. RefSeq lists it as uncharacterized. Lineage: Eukaryota; Metazoa; Chordata; Mammalia; Carnivora; Canidae. The record is from RefSeq and is a predicted model, not a curated record. The transcript has 2 exons.